UACGAAGGGUGCAAGCGUUACUCGGAAUUACUGGGCGUAAAGCGUGCGUAGGUGGUUUGUUAAGUCUGUUGUGAAAGCCCCGGGCUCAACCUGGGAAUGGCAAUGGAUACUGGCAGGCUAGAGUGCGGUAGAGGGUAGUGGAAUUCCCGGUGUAGCGGUAAAAUGCGUAGAGAUCGGGAGGAACACCAGUGGCGAAGGCGGCUACCUGGACCAGCACUGACACUGAGGCACGAAAGCGUGGGGAGCGAACAGG
Molecule: ribosomal RNA, 253 nt
Filed under: uncultured bacterium
Lineage: Bacteria
Description: partial 16S ribosomal RNA
Rfam family: Bacterial small subunit ribosomal RNA
Source: RNAcentral